CUCAGGACGAACGCUGGCGGCGCGCUUAACACAUGCAAGUCGAGCGAUGAAACUUUAACAGAACCCUUCGGGGCGAAGAUAAAGUGGAUUAGCGGCGGACGGGUGAGUAACACGUGAGUAACCUGCCUUAGACAUUGGGAUAGCCUCGGGAAACCGGGAUUAAUACCAAAUAAAAUCAUAAUGACACAUGUCAUAACGAUCAAAACUCCGGUGGUCUAAGAUGGACUCGCGUCCCAUUAGCUAGUUGGUAGAGUAAAAGCCUACCAAGGCGACGAUGGGUAGCCGGCCUGAGAGGGUGAACGGCCACAUUGGAACUGAGAAACGGUCCAAACUCCUACGGGAGGCAGCAGUGGGGAAUAUUGCACAAUGGAGGGAACUCUGAUGCAGCGACGCCGCGUGAACGAAGAAGGCUUUCGAGUCGUAAAGUUCUUUUAUAUGGGAAGAUAAUGACGGUACCAUAAGAAAAAGCCCCGGCUAACUACGUGCCAGCAGCCGCGGUAAUACGUAGGGGGCUAGCGUUGUCCGGAAUCACUGGGCGUAAAGGGUUCGCAGGCGGAAAUGCAAGUCAGAUGUAAAAGGCAGUAGCUUAACUACUGUAAGCAUUUGAAACUGCAUAUCUUGAGAAGAGUAGAGGUAAGUGGAAUUUUUAGUGUAGCGGUGAAAUGCGUAGAUAUUAAAAAGAAUACCGGUGGCGAAGGCGACUUACUGGGCUCAUUCUGACGCUGAGGAACGAAGCGUGGGUAGCAAA
Molecule: ribosomal RNA, 748 nt
Filed under: uncultured Eubacteriales bacterium
Lineage: Bacteria; Bacillati; Bacillota; Clostridia; Eubacteriales
Description: bacterial SSU rRNA
Rfam family: Bacterial small subunit ribosomal RNA
Source: RNAcentral